RNAcentral lists this ribosomal RNA (702 nucleotides) under Triticum aestivum (bread wheat). Its description in RNAcentral is "partial small subunit ribosomal RNA". The record is from RNAcentral. Lineage: Eukaryota; Viridiplantae; Streptophyta; Magnoliopsida; Poales; Poaceae.
AUGUCUCAAACCUGCCUGCCGCCUGGCUUUCGUUUCCAUCCAACUGAUGUUGAGUUUGUUUCUUACUACUUGAAAAGGAAGAUUAUGGGGAAGAAACUUUUUGUCGAAGCUAUCUCAGAGGUUGAGCUGUACAAAUUUGCUCCUUGGGACCUCCUGAUAAAUCAUAAAUCAUGUCUCCAGAGCAAAGAUCUUGAGUGGUUCUUCUUUUGCCCCCAUGACAAAAAAAAUCCUAAAGGGUCUUGGACGAACCGUACCACACCGAAUGGUUAUUGGAAAACAAGUGGAAAAGACGGAACUAUUGACCUGAACUCUCGCAUUGUUGGGUUGAAGAAAACAUUGAUUUUUCAUGAAGGCAAGGCACCCAAAGGCAAUAGGACUGAUUGGGUAAUGUAUGAAUACAAAAUGGAAGAUGAAACCUUGGUGUCUACUGGUUUCUCAAAGGAUGCUUAUGUACUCAGUGGGCUUGGCCCAAGGAUUGGUGAGCAAUAUAGGGCUCCUUUUGAUGGAAAUGAAUGGGAGAAUUUAGAUGUUGGAACUUAUAUCUUGUCUUUUGCACCAUCGUCAGGUGUAGAGGAUUCACAGGUCGAAAGUUCUGCCUGGGUUACUGCCAUAGUUAUUCGGGAACCAUCCGCUCCUCAGCAGUCUGUUCAAUUUUCUGAACAUGUUAAUAUCUGUUCUGAUGAGGUUGCUGGCUUAACUUGA